This 403-nucleotide ribosomal RNA is filed under the name bacterium. RNAcentral's name for it is "partial 16S ribosomal RNA". It matches the Rfam family "Bacterial small subunit ribosomal RNA", at positions 355 to 776 of the family's 1533-position model. The record is from RNAcentral.
UGGGGAAUAUUGCACAAUGGGGGAAACCCUGAUGCAGCGACGCCGCGUGAACGAAGAAGGUAUUCGUAUCGUAAAGUUCUGUCCUAUGGGAAGAUAAUGACAGUACCAUAGAAGAAAGCUCCGGCUAAAUACGUGCCAGCAGCCGCGGUAAUACGUAUGGAGCGAGCGUUGUCCGGAAUUAUUGGGCGUAAAGGGUACGCAGGCGGUUUAAUAAGUCGAAUGUUAAAGAUCGGGGCUCAACCCCGUAAAGCAUUGGAAACUGAAAAACUUGAGUAGUGGAGAGGAAAGUGGAAUUCCUAGUGUAGUGGUGAAAUACGUAGAUAUUAGGAGGAAUACCAGUAGCGAAGGCGACUUUCUGGACACAAACUGACGCUGAGGUACGAAAGCGUGGGGAGCAAACAGG